This 87-nucleotide transfer RNA is filed under the name Stenotrophomonas maltophilia. Its description in RNAcentral is "tRNA-Thr". It matches the Rfam family "tRNA". Rfam says of the family: Transfer RNA (tRNA) molecules are approximately 80 nucleotides in length. Their secondary structure includes four short double-helical elements and three loops (D, anti-codon, and T loops). Further hydrogen bonds mediate the characteristic L-shaped molecular structure. tRNAs have two regions of fundamental functional importance: the anti-codon, which is responsible for specific mRNA codon recognition, and the 3' end, to which the tRNAs corresponding amino acid is attached (by aminoacyl-tRNA synthetases). tRNAs cope with the degeneracy of the genetic code in two manners: having more than one tRNA (with a specific anti-codon) for a particular amino acid; and 'wobble' base-pairing, i.e. permitting non-standard base-pairing at the 3rd anti-codon position. Lineage: Bacteria; Pseudomonadati; Pseudomonadota; Gammaproteobacteria; Lysobacterales; Lysobacteraceae. The record is from RNAcentral.
GCCGGAUUGCCCGAGUGGUUGAAGGGGCUACAUUCGUAAUGUAGAUGCGCAAGCACGUCGCAGGUUCGAAUCCUGUGUCCGGCACCA